Molecule: ribosomal RNA, 292 nt
Filed under: uncultured Acidobacteriota bacterium
Lineage: Bacteria; Pseudomonadati; Acidobacteriota
Description: uncultured Acidobacteria bacterium partial 16S ribosomal RNA
Source: RNAcentral
GGACUACUCGGGUUUCUAAUCCUGUUUGCUACCCACGCUUUCGUGCCUCAGCGUCAGAAGUGGUCCAGAAAGCCGUUUACACCACCGGUGUUCCUCCUGAUAUCUACGCAUUUCACCGCUACACCAGGAAUUCCACUUUCCUCUCCCACCCUCUAGCCCCACAGUCUAUAGCGCACCCUCCCAGUUAAGCCGGGAGAUUUCACACCAUACUUAUAGAGCCGCCUACGCACCCUUUACGCCCAGUAACUCCGAACAACGCUUGCUGCCUACGUAUUACCGCGGCGGCUGGCAC